AUUUAAAUAGCUUAUAUUUAGAGCGUGGCACUGAAGAUGCUAAAGAGAUUUUAGGAUCUUUAAAUA
This 66-nucleotide transfer RNA is filed under the name Ptychoptera minuta. RNAcentral describes it as "tRNA-Phe". The record is from RNAcentral. Lineage: Eukaryota; Metazoa; Arthropoda; Insecta; Diptera; Ptychopteridae.